CCGCAUUUCCCUCCUCAACGUCGAGCUCGCAUAGGCCCAGCUAUGGCGAUCCCUUCCUCCACGCUCGCCGCCUCUUCUCCGAACAUCCUCCGCCCCCGCCCGCCGGCGCCGCCGCUCCCUCUUCCUCCGCUCCUCUGUCCGUCGUCCGUUCCUCCUCCUUCGAGAGCAGCCGCUCGGUCCUCUCGGGUUCUCUCCGCUUCGGCUCCCGCCGCCCUCGCCGAGCCGAACCGAGCCGAGCCGGCCCCCCGCCGCCCUCCGCCCGCCGCCUGGAAACAUAGCUCCAAGUCUUAUCUGGCCAGGCAGGCCGCGGUGCUCGAAAUUCAGCAGUCGCCCGAUUUGGACGCCGCGCUCGAAAGGCUUGGCGGUCUACUGAAGGUGCAGGACUUGAAUGCCAUUUUGAGGUAUUUUGGGAAACUCAACCGGAUGCAAGAUAUUUCCAAGCUCUUUCAGUAUAUGCAGAAACAUGAGAAGAUUAGUGCUGCUAGUUAUAGCAGUUAUAUAAAGUUCGCAGGGACAAGCCACAACCCUUUGAAUGCACUGGAAAUCUAUAACAGUAUUCCAGAUGCCUCAAUGAGAAUCAAUGUCUUUAUAAGUAAUGCUGUUCUUAGUUGCCUUGUCAGAAAUGGUAAAUUUGGGAUUGGCAUGAAAUGUUUUCAACAGAUGAAGCGGGAUGGACUGAAACCAGAUAUCAUUACAUAUAGUACGCUGCUUGCAGGUUGCAUGAAGGUCAAUGAUGGUUACACCAAAGCAUUGGAACUGAUACAGGAACUGGAGUAUAAUAGUCUUAAAAUGGAUAGUGUAAUGUAUGGGACUCUUAUUGCUGUGUGUGCUUCGAACAAUCAUUGUGAAGAUGCAGAGCGCUUCUUCAGGCAAAUGGUGAAUGAAGGCCAUACACCUAAUGAAUUCCAUUAUAGCUCUUUAUUAAAUUCGUACUCUGCUGAUGGUAAUUACAAGAAGGCUGAAGCCUUGGUGCAGGAUAUGAAAUCUGCAGGCUUAGUUGUCAAUAAGGUAAUUUUGACUACUUUGCUAAAGGUUUACGUCAGAGGAGGCUUAUUUGAUAAGUCAAGAGAAUUAUUGGCCGAACUGGAACUCUUAGGCCAUGCCAAAGAUGAGAUGUCAUACUGUCUAUUGAUGGAUGGCCUAGCUAAGGCUGGAAGGACAGAUGAAGCUAAAUCAGUAUUUGACGAAAUGAUGGGAAAAUCUGUCAAAUCUGAUGGCUAUGCUCACUGCAUCAUGAUUUCAGCAUUUUGCCGGUGUGGGCUUUUACAAGAGGCCAAACUGUUGGCCAAAGACUUUGAAGCCAAAUUUAACAGAUAUGACUUGGUAAUAUUAAAUACAAUGCUAUGCGCCUAUUGCAGAGCAGGUGAAAUGGAGAGUGUCAUGCAAACAUUGAAGAAGAUGGAUGAACUAGCUAUCAAUCCUGAUUACAAUACCUUUCAUAUCCUAGUCAAAUACUUCUUUAAGGAGAAAUUAUAUCUACUUGCUUACAGGACUAUAGAGGACAUGCAUAAAAAGGGGCACCGACCAGAGGAGGGACUUUGCUCCUCCCUAAUCUUUCAACUCGGUAACAUGAAUGCCUACUCAGAAGCCUUUUCUGUUUACAAUAUGUUGAGGUAUAGCAAAAGAAAUAUGUGUAAGGCACUCCAUGAGAAAAUUCUGCACAUUCUGAUUUCUGGACGGCUUUACAAGGAGGCUUAUGUCGUUGUCAAGGACAAUGCAGGAUCAAUCUCCAAGCAAGCAGUAAGGAAGUUUGCAACUGCAUUUAUGAAGUCGGGCAAUGUCAACUUGAUAAAUGAUGUGUUGAAGGUCAUCCAUGCCUCUGGGAAUAAGAUUGAUCAGAAAUUAUUUAAUAUGGCCGUGUCACGAUUUAUUGUUCUGCCUGAGAAGAAGGAAUUACUUCUCCAACUGCUGCAGUGGAUGUCCGGUCAUGGUUAUGCUAUUGAUUUGUCAACAAGAGACCUUAUUCUAAAAAAUUCACGCUUCUUUGGUGAUGAGCUUAUUAAGGAAACACUGUCCAAGCAUCAGUUAAGUUUGAAAGGAGUGAGAUCUCAUAAAAGGAAGGAGUGAAUUUCCGAGUAAUGUUAUUUGAGGCUCCUCUGCCUUUCGUGCGUGAUUCGUAAUUCCUCUACAGCGUGGUAAGUUGUUGAAAGCGGUAUUUCUGGAACCCUGUCAAGCUACAUGACCUACUGCAGCAAUCCUUGCCAUAGUAACAGAGGUUCUCUCUUGCUUGGUAUGUUGUGCCUGCCCCUGCAGAUUAUGCAAGACAUCACAAACUCAUGGUUAAACUUUGAUAAUGCAGCUGGUUUAUGAUGCUAUCAAGCAGUAUACGUGCUUAUGCUCGGCCACAGGUGAGAUGUAGCAGGAGAAUGAUUAGAGCAAGCUCCCUGUCUUAUAGGUUGAAGUUUAUUAGCCUGAUUUUUUGUUAAUUGAACUUCCUUGGCUAUCUUGGCGAGGUACAUAGCCUAACAGGUGUUGGUGUAGAGUUUUUCCUCUUUCAGCAUACGCCUUUGCGUUUGUUGUACAAUGUAAAUUAUUCUUUUCUAGAAAGUGGAGGGAUUUACAAGAGCAGUCAUCCUGUGUUGGAUCACUAUGCCCAUCUCCUAAUGAUCAGUCCUAUUUUAGUCAAUGCAGAUCAUAGCAUAAAAAUGAGAUCUUUUUCUUGCC
Eucalyptus grandis is the source of this 2664-nucleotide RNA transcript. It is a transcript of the gene named pentatricopeptide repeat-containing protein At1g10910, chloroplastic, with no coding region annotated. The record is from RefSeq and is a predicted model, not a curated record. Lineage: Eukaryota; Viridiplantae; Streptophyta; Magnoliopsida; Myrtales; Myrtaceae. The transcript has 12 exons.